UCGCCUGUUUAUCAAAAACAUCGCCUCUUGCUAACAACGAAGUAUUAGAGGUCCCGCCUGCCCUGUGACAGCAGUGUUUAACGGCCGCGGUAUUUUAACCGCGCGAAGGUAGCGUAAUCACUUGUCUUUUAAAUGGAGACCUGUAUGAAUGGCAUAACGAGGGUUUAACUGUCUCCUCCCCCCAGUCAAUGAAAUUGAUCUGCCCGUGCAGAAGCGGGCAUGCCAACAUAAGACGAGAAGACCCUAUGGAGCUUUAGGCAAAUGAUCAAGCACAACAAACCCCGUUUUUAACCAAGCCCCGGGGGAAACAAAAGCCGAUGAUCAAGAUGCCUUCGGUUGGGGCGACCUUGGAGAAAAAAUAAGCCUCCAAGUGGAAUGGGAAAACCCUUAAACUAAGAGAAACAGCUCGAAGUACCAGAAAUUCUGACCAAACAUGACCCAGGUUUCACCUGAUCAACGAACUGAGUUACCCUAGGGAUAACAGCGCAAUCCUCUCCCAGAGUCCAUAUCGACGAGGGGGUUUACGACCUCGAUGUUGGAUCAGGACAUCCUAAUGGUGCAGCCGCUAUUAAGGGCUCGUUUGUUCAACGAUUAACAGUCCUACGUGAUCUGAGUUCAGACCGG
This 624-nucleotide ribosomal RNA is filed under the name Gymnothorax pictus. Its description in RNAcentral is "partial 16S ribosomal RNA subunit". It matches the Rfam family "Bacterial large subunit ribosomal RNA", at positions 1796 to 2619 of the family's 2925-position model. The record is from RNAcentral. Lineage: Eukaryota; Metazoa; Chordata; Actinopteri; Anguilliformes; Muraenidae.